AAUAGAUACCCAGGUAGUCCUAGCCGUAAACGAUACUCGCUAGGUGUCGGCCACGGUGCGACCGUUGUCGGUGCCGUAGGGAAGCCGUGAAGCGAGCCACCUGGGAAGUACGGCCGCAAGGCUGAAACUUAAAGGAAUUGGCGGGGGAGCACCACAACGGGUGGAGCUUGCGGUUUAAUUGGAUUCAACGCCGGAAAUCUUACCGGGACCGACAGCAAUAUGAAGGCCAGGCUGAAGACUUUGCCGGAUUAGCUGAGAGGUGGUGCAUGGCCGUCGUCAGUUCGUACUGUGAAGCAUCCUGUUAAGUCAGGCAACGAGCGAGACCCACGCCCACAGUUGCCAGCGUACUCUCCGGAGUGACGGGUACACUGUGGGGACCGCCGCUGCUAAAGCGGAGGAAGGAAUGGGCAACGGUAGGUCAGUAUGCCCCGAAUAUCCCGGGCUACACGCGAGCUACAAUGGUUGGUACAAUGGGUAUCUACCCCGAAAGGGGAUGGAAAUCUCCUAAAGCCAAUCUUAGUUCGGAUUGAGGGCUGCAACUCGCCCUC
Molecule: ribosomal RNA, 548 nt
Filed under: uncultured bacterium
Lineage: Bacteria
Description: bacterial SSU rRNA
Rfam family: Archaeal small subunit ribosomal RNA
Source: RNAcentral